AUUCGGUUGAUGAGUCCCGAAUAGGGUGAAACGCGCGUCCCGGAU
Molecule: non-coding RNA, 45 nt
Filed under: Schistosoma mattheei
Lineage: Eukaryota; Metazoa; Platyhelminthes; Trematoda; Strigeidida; Schistosomatidae
Source: RNAcentral